This is a long non-coding RNA of Passer domesticus (house sparrow), 946 nucleotides long. RefSeq lists it as uncharacterized. NCBI's taxonomy places the organism in Eukaryota, Metazoa, Chordata, Aves, Passeriformes, Passeridae. The transcript is spliced from 5 exons. The record is from RefSeq and is a predicted model, not a curated record.
UAUAAACCCACUCCAAAGCUUAUGGGCCUGACACCAUUUUGUCUCUUAGCGUCUCUUCCAUCCAGCCAUAGCUCAGUUCCACUCAGCUCCAUCCUCUUCUCUUCCCUCAUCAACCAACAGCACCAUCCCAGGCACUCCUGCCAUUUCCAACCUAAAUUAUCAUUCUAUGCAACAUACUCAAGACAGCUGUACCACACCUUUGGCAGAGAAGGGGGUGGCAGCCUUUCCAGGUCUCUUGUGUGCCUAAAGCCACAGCCAGCAGAGUGGGCAAUGCUAAGGCAAUAUUCCAUCAGAAGCCAGAGAAUGGUGACUUCAAAGGACCCCCACAAGGACCACCGCUCCAACAAAGCCUGUUGAUAGAGUAACAUUUCAAAAAGAAGUUUAUUUCUUUAAGGAGCAUAAAGAGUAUGAUCUUCCCCUGAUUCUGCUUCUCACCAGGCAGCACAAAGAGCUCUGUCAAGGGUUAGCCACAAGGCAGUUCUCACCAUGCCCACUGAGGAACGGCAAGAUCAACCCUCAAAUCUGAGACCCAAGGAAAUUACCUCAGCAGCUACAUUUUGGGGAUUUGCAAGAACUGUUCAGCACUAGCAUCUGGGCUAGAAAGGAAACAAGUCCACAAGGGUCUUCUGAGGAACAGUCCCCCUACCCAUGCAUGGACAUGAUACCUCUCCUAUGGGUACUGUUCCAGGUAACUCACCCUUCCCUGCUUUGGCGACCAAUUUCCAAAUCCAUGACCGCUGCUUCUAUGCUCAGAAGCAGAGACAGCCAAUGCACCCCACACUGUGCUGCAGGAAGUCAUACCCAGGUUCCCACACAGCCCUGCAGCCGGUCUGCCCUGCUGGGACCCCAGUCAAAGAGGAGCACACAUGGGCAGCAGUGGACACGCUGCCUUCCUAACCCCCAGGCUCUGGGGCAGAGCACAGUGCCGGAGCUCAGCCCUGCCACA